This 359-nucleotide RNase P RNA is filed under the name Desulfobacteraceae bacterium. RNAcentral's name for it is "RNase P RNA component class A". It matches the Rfam family "Bacterial RNase P class A". Rfam says of the family: Ribonuclease P (RNase P) is a ubiquitous endoribonuclease, found in archaea, bacteria and eukarya as well as chloroplasts and mitochondria. Its best characterised activity is the generation of mature 5'-ends of tRNAs by cleaving the 5'-leader elements of precursor-tRNAs. The record is from RNAcentral. Lineage: Bacteria; Pseudomonadati; Thermodesulfobacteriota; Desulfobacteria; Desulfobacterales; Desulfobacteraceae.
UGGAGUGGGGCAGGUGGCCGCCCGAAGGGGAGGAAAGUCCGGGCUCCACAGGGCAGGGCGCUGGGUAACACCCAGUCCUGGUGACAGGAAGGAAAGUGCCACAGAAAAUACACCGCCUCUCAAACAGGGGUAAGGGUGAAAAGGUGAGGUAAGAGCUCACCAGCUCGUCGGUGACGGCAAGGCUUGGCAAACCCCGCCUGGAGCAAGACCAAAUAGGGGGACGCUGAGGGUGGCCCGCCCGAGUCCCCGGGUAGGUCGCUGGAGCCUGCUGGCAACGGCAGGCCUAGAUAAAUGGUCACCACCCAUGGGAGGGUGACCUCCUCUGGGUACAGAACCCGGCUUAUGAACCACUCCAACAC